UGUCAAGCUACGUAUUUAUCCUCGAACUUGAGUUAACUAAUGAGAUGAAAUCUAACAAAACCUGGUUCGCCUCUUCCAUCUCUUAAACUUGUUUUCACCGCCGCACUUCUUUCUCUUUCUCUCUUAUUAACCUCAUUAUUUUCUCUGCAACUGGUUGAAGAUGGAGAUUUAGUGUUCAUAUGAAGAUGAAAAGUUAGAGAUGAUGUUGUUAUAAGUAUUAUUAGUAUUUGUUUCUGUAUUCUGAAAAGCGUAAAACUGAUGAUUGGAGACGCAAAAAAUCUCAUAAGAUGUUGAUGGAGGUGGAAAUAAACCCAAUUGUUCUGGUGGUUUUGAAGAUGUUAGAGGUGGAAAUAGACCCAACUGUUGUGGUAUGGUGGUUUUGAAGAUGUUGAUGGAGGUGGUAAUGGACCUCCGCUGCUACGGUGGUUUUGGAGAUGUUGAUGGAGGUGGUAAUGGACUGCUGCCGCUGCUGCUUUGGUGGUUUUGAAGAUGGGGUGGGAAUUGCUGUUGCUGUACUGGUCCGCAUUCAGAUGGCUCCUAAAGGUUCACCAUUCCAGCUCCAGGGGUUUAAAUGGUGCCCAUCUAUCUGAUUAACUAUGGUCAAGUUACUUGGGUUAUAAGUGAAGGGUAUAUAAGUAAAACAUUGGGACCGUUUUUUGCAAAACUGUUAGAUCAGAUGGUUGAUGACCAUUUUGUAAACCAAAUUCAAAAGUGUGAUCAUUUUGUAAACCAAAUUACAAAAGUAUGACCAUUUUGUAAUUGACCCUAUUUAGGAUAUGUGGAAGUUUUGAAAAGAUUGAAAAUUAUGAAAAAGGAAAUGUACGAUGUA
Papaver somniferum (opium poppy) is the source of this 829-nucleotide long non-coding RNA. RefSeq lists it as uncharacterized. Lineage: Eukaryota; Viridiplantae; Streptophyta; Magnoliopsida; Ranunculales; Papaveraceae. The transcript has 2 exons. The record is from RefSeq and is a predicted model, not a curated record.